This 545-nucleotide long non-coding RNA is filed under the name Pogona vitticeps (central bearded dragon). RNAcentral's name for it is "lncRNA (ENSPVIG00000004486.1)". The record is from RNAcentral. Lineage: Eukaryota; Metazoa; Chordata; Lepidosauria; Squamata; Agamidae.
AAUGCACUAUAUCAAUUAUUGUUUCUCUUCCUGUACCUUCCCGGUGGAGAAUGUGCAGAACCCUGACAUCAUCCUGACAGGUUGUUCUCCUCUUCCAGCAGAGAAAUCCUUUUGGAGAACAGUAGAAGAAAGAGAAUUGUGCAUUUGGUGGAUCUCGUAGCAUUCUUCACACCGUGGAUGAAGACUAUUUUGAUUGGCGGGCAAAGCAAAAAUGGGCCAAAGUGCAGGAUUUUAAUAUGCACCCUUCUUUUGAAUGUUAAUAUCUUCAACAUUCCAGACAUCCCAGGAAGGUCAGUUCAACCAUCUGAUACUUCAUAAUUGGAAUAACUUGAAUAAUUUGAAUAACUCAUCAUUUGACAGCCUAUAAUGUACUGCUCAUUAACAGUUACUGUACCUCAAAACUUUACAGCUGCCUCAUUUAUUUGAUCUUUUUCUAAAAGUCUUUCCUCGCCAUACUUGUCAGGCAUCAUAACUGACAUGGAAUGGAAACUCCUCUAUUCCUAAUACAACAGCAACAACAUUUUAUUUCCCCAUAAAACCUCAUU